Long non-coding RNA from Oncorhynchus tshawytscha (Chinook salmon), 3813 nucleotides. Lineage: Eukaryota; Metazoa; Chordata; Actinopteri; Salmoniformes; Salmonidae. The record is from Ensembl.
CAGAGAGAGAUACAGUAAAUUGAACAAAGACACAAUGCAGUCUAAAGAUACAGACACCCCCACUGUUUGCAGCCCAGAUGGUACAUCCCAGUCCUUCUCCUUUCCCUCCCUCUGUUUUCACUGUGCCCUCCAUCUCUCUACUUACUCUCACUCUCUGCCUUGAGGACAUAACUGAGUUCCGGCUGAUAGCUUUUGAGCAGCAAUUCCAUCCCUCCGUCCAUUGUUACAGAGCUGUUGGAGAGGAGAACAGAAUAGCCUGAGGUAAAGCAGUGCUGACCUGAAAGACACUUCUGACCAACCCCACCUGUUUCUGGAUCCUAUGGAAGCUAAGGCUAAGAGCGGGGCACCAGUGCCCAAGGCAUCCUCUAAAGCAGAGAAGACGGAGAAGAAGGAGACAGCUCCCCCUAAAAAGGUUGACCCCACUCCAGUAGAGCCUCCACCCCCAGCGGUCCCUGUGGAAGAGCCUCCAGUGGAGGAUGGCUCAGCUGAACCAGAGGGGGCACCAGAGGGGGAGGAGGCAGCAGAGGCCAGCACAGACUCCCUGGAAAGCCUGAAGCCCUUCCUCAUUGGUGGUGCCAUCAUCGCUGCUGGUGCCAUCCUGUUGGGGGCACUGUUGUUGGCAAGAAGAAAUUAAUCACCACCACUCAUCAUAAAAACAUAUUGGUUGAUGGGUUAACAAGUCACUUGCUGAUUGGUUCAUAGACUAUCAUGCAGCUGGUAGAGAUGGGGGAUGGGGAGCCACUUUGCUUCUUAAGUUUAUUUCAGUCUGACCUUGCUUGUAGUGAAUAAAAACAUCAGUGAACAUUCAAGUAAUAUAUUUUUGGGCCCCUGCUAGUAUACUCACGCAUGAAUUUGCUCCACCUCUCUAACUGCACCUACUUAUUAUAGGGCUACACGCCUUUAAUCACCAUACAAAUGCACUCCAACAGUUACACUGGACACACACAUAUAUACAGUACUUGAACACCCUAUUUAUCCAGUAUGCACUGAUAAACAUUUUGAUGUUUCUGGGUCUACUAAUACAUAAAUUAGAAGUAGAAAUGCAGUAACUUUAUAUUGUUUGAUUUGAAAAAGGUCAUAUGAAGUGAAGUAUGAAGUAUAUUAAACAUACUAUUGUGAGUGCCUAGCAGGUUUGGGGUCAAUUUCAUUUAAAUUCCAGUCAAUUCAGGAAGUACACUGAAAUUCCAAUUCUCUUGAAUCCUUUUCAAUAUAGAACAUUUGGAAUUUGAAUUUUGUUUAAUUUCUCAGUGCAAUUUAAAUGGAAUUGAUCCCAACCCUGGUGCCUAGUAUGUGCUAUUUCUAUGCUCGUAUUGCUUUUGCUGUAAAUACCUGGUCCCUGAAGAUUAGAUGUGAACCCUUUUGAAUAACGGUUUUAGACCAGGAGAUAUCGUUAUAUCAAUUCAGGGGAAGUUGCAUGUUUUAGGGAAGGCUGUGUGUGAUGUCAGUAAUGGCAGAUAAUAGUGUGACAGAUGAAGUAACUUAAAUAAUUGGAUGUAAUACACUUCCAUUUCAGUCUCUACUGAUACUGAGAUAAUAACAUUUCAUAGUCAAAUUGCCCCUAUAUCCCAAAUCAAUAUGUACAUUGAGAUUAUAUUCAAAGUUAUGCCUGGCUGCCUGCGUUUACUGCCCUGGUGACACAAAUGGAGUAUAAACCAAAAGCAUAUACACUAAAUUGCCAAACCUAUUGCCAAAAAUAUGAUAUAUAUUUUAACCCUGUGUGUUAACACUGAAAUCCCUUGGUGUAUCCAUUUGUCAAAUGUAUUAACAGCUUGCUUACUACAAUUUCUCUGGAGCAAUAGUGUAGCCUCUAUUUAUUUGAAGACCAUACAUGUUAGAGAGUGUUAGUGUGAGAGACUGUGCAGAUACUGUAAUAGUACUGUACAUUGUAUGAAUUUUGAUUCAGAAUGAAAAUAUUCUACAUGCAAUAUGUGGUGUACCAAUGUAUGUGGUAGCUUGGCCAGUCAUGCUCAGCAAAUCAGCAUAUACACAAAUAUAUUACAUCCAUCUCCAACCUCCAGGAAAGCGUUGAAAGUAUGAUGAAAUGAUAAUACAUGCAUUACGGUGUAUUUGUAAUAUUUUUUGAUAGUUUGAUGAACCUAGAAUUCAAGUAGAAAGCAUGCAUUAUUGAUGGGAGUAGAGAAAGAUGGAUUUAUUUAGUAGAUCAACUGAGAUUGUUUCCUCAUUUGUUUCCCUAUUAAUUACAGAGAAGCUCUCCUAUUUUUGAUAACAUACAGUUUUUUUUUUUAUAAGAGGCCUACGAGAUUUUCAACACCCAAUCAAACAUCUUGCUUGAACACUGGCAUGUAGCGUACCAUGAUGCAAUAUCAAUACCUCCAGCAUAGCAACAGAACAGACACAUAUUCUGCAAACACAUGUUCAAAUAGCCUAGUCAUCAUGUCACAGAGUACUAAAUCAAAUCUAGCAGUUAUUUUCCUUGGUCUCAAAGAGCGUAUAAAUGCAAUAAUUCCAGUAGGACUUCACAUUUUAGCACAUGUUCUGUAUGAUAUUAAAAUAAAUGGCAAUGAUGGUGAAAUGUUGAUGGGUAAUACUAUUGUAAAUGGAAAAUGAUUACCAGAUGAUGAUGAUGUGAUAUUGGUGAUUAUACCUAUAUUUUCUUGAUAUCCCAGCUCCCUAUGACAUAUUUCCCCUCUUGCACACUCCCUCCCCCUGCCCCCAAAGCUCCUUGUGUAAAUCCAAAUGGUUGUCUUGUGACUUGACCUGACCUUUAUUAAAGGCAAUGGACGCUCUUGCAUAGACUAAAGGGUCUCUUUGAUAGCUGUGAAUCAUUUUGUGUCCUACACUCUCCACCAAUAGAAAUAGCUAGGGUUCAUUGUGUUGAGAUUGAAGCACUCCUCUCAUUGUUUCCUUUCCUCCAUCAUCACUGAUAUGAAUAGGACUGACUGGCUAUAGGCUGUAUUAUGUCCACCAUUCACAUGUUAGCGGUCAUGAAAAGGAGACAUUUUAAAUGUUAUCAUGCUGGCCAAUAGGGUUUCUAAACAUUGUGCUGUUUUAAAAAUCUGAAUUCUCAAAGAGAUACAUUAGCCAGUUCCAGAUGUGAAUCUAGUAUUCUAGUAACCAUGUGUAUGUGACCAAUAAAAUUGGAUUUCAUGAUUUGAAUCUAGUAUUGGACUAGUCCAAAAUAGAAAACUGAGGGGGAGUCGUAUUCUAAACAGACCCCUUAUAUAUUCGGAAAAUCUAAUGUGUACCAAGAAAACAACAAUAUGCUAAAGGUAAAUGGAGCUAUGAAUGAGGCACAGCUCAUUCAAUUACAACAUUUCUAGAACCCCCUGUAAAGUUUCAGCCCCUAGACAUGCCCCCGUCAGUUGCCAACUUAGUGGCUUUGUCGUUAGCGUGUAUUCAGACUCCUCUAGCGACACAUUUUCAAAAAAAGCAACAAGCGACAAAUCCAGCGACUUUUUCUGGUGUUAUUGGAGACUAAGAACCAUACGUGCUUUCACUGCUCUCUUCUCAACGAGCAGCGGGUGCUGCCGUGGGCCCCACCCCGUCCCAAUGCAUUCACCCAGUCGUAGCACAGCAGUCCUUCCCAGCUGCAGUCAGAGCAGGAGAUGUUCACCCCUCCACGUCCAGAAUGUUUUUUUUUGUGUGACUUGUUGUAGGCUGCUAAGUAGACCAUAAGGUUACAAACCAAAACAAAACAAACUAAACUAAAAUAAAGGAGGGUUGGAAUUGUGACAUUAAAAACAAGAACCGACAGAAUAAAGUUAAUUUGUAGUUCUAAACAUAUUUAGGGUGUUUUUUUUACUCACUUUUUGUCUCUCCCACGACGUUUUUCCCUCUCUCCUACAGCGUUUU